This 1482-nucleotide ribosomal RNA is filed under the name Enterococcus durans. Its description in RNAcentral is "bacterial SSU rRNA". It matches the Rfam family "Bacterial small subunit ribosomal RNA". The record is from RNAcentral. Lineage: Bacteria; Bacillati; Bacillota; Bacilli; Lactobacillales; Enterococcaceae.
GACGAACGCUGGCGGCGUGCCUAAUACAUGCAAGUCGUACGCUUCUUUUUCCACCGGAGCUUGCUCCACCGGAAAAAGAAGAGUGGCGAACGGGUGAGUAACACGUGGGUAACCUGCCCAUCAGAAGGGGAUAACACUUGGAAACAGGUGCUAAUACCGUAUAACAAUCGAAACCGCAUGGUUUUGAUUUGAAAGGCGCUUUCGGGUGUCGCUGGUGGAUGGACCCGCGGUGCAUUAGCUAGUUGGUGAGGUAACGGCUCACCAAGGCUACGAUGCAUAGCCGACCUGAGAGGGUGAUCGGCCACAUUGGGACUGAGACACGGCCCAAACUCCUACGGGAGGCAGCAGUAGGGGAUCUUCGGCAAUGGACGAAAGUCUGACCGAGCAACGCCGCGUGAGUGAAGAAGGUUUUCGGAUCGUAAAACUCUGUUGUUAGAGAAGAACAAGGAUGAGAGUAACUGUUCAUCCCUUGACGGUAUCUAACCAGAAAGCCACGGCUAACUACGUGCCAGCAGCCGCGGUAAUACGUAGGUGGCAAGCGUUGUCCGGAUUUAUUGGGCGUAAAGCGAGCGCAGGCGGUUUCUUAAGUCUGAUGUGAAAGCCCCCGGCUCAACCGGGGAGGGUCAUUGGAAACUGGGAGACUUGAGUGCAGAAGAGGAGAGUGGAAUUCCAUGUGUAGCGGUGAAAUGCGUAGAUAUAUGGAGGAACACCAGUGGCGAAGGCGGCUCUCUGGUCUGUAACUGACGCUGAGGCUCGAAAGCGUGGGGAGCAAACAGGAUUAGAUACCCUGGUAGUCCACGCCGUAAACGAUGAGUGCUAAGUGUUGGAGGGUUUCCGCCCUUCAGUGCUGCAGCUAACGCAUUAAGCACUCCGCCUGGGGAGUACGACCGCAAGGUUGAAACUCAAAGGAAUUGACGGGGGCCCGCACAAGCGGUGGAGCAUGUGGUUUAAUUCGAAGCAACGCGAAGAACCUUACCAGGUCUUGACAUCCUUUGACCACUCUAGAGAUAGAGCUUCCCCUUCGGGGGCAAAGUGACAGGUGGUGCAUGGUUGUCGUCAGCUCGUGUCGUGAGAUGUUGGGUUAAGUCCCGCAACGAGCGCAACCCUUAUUGUUAGUUGCCAUCAUUCAGUUGGGCACUCUAGCAAGACUGCCGGUGACAAACCGGAGGAAGGUGGGGAUGACGUCAAAUCAUCAUGCCCCUUAUGACCUGGGCUACACACGUGCUACAAUGGGAAGUACAACGAGUCGCGAAGUCGCGAGGCUAAGCUAAUCUCUUAAAGCUUCUCUCAGUUCGGAUUGUAGGCUGCAACUCGCCUACAUGAAGCCGGAAUCGCUAGUAAUCGCGGAUCAGCACGCCGCGGUGAAUACGUUCCCGGGCCUUGUACACACCGCCCGUCACACCACGAGAGUUUGUAACACCCGAAGUCGGUGAGGUAACCUUUUGGAGCCAGCCGCCUAAGGUGGGAUAGAUGAUUGGGGUG